GAUGAACGCUGGCGGCGUGCUUAACACAUGCAAGUCGAACGAUGAAGCCCAGCUUGCUGGGUGGAUUAGUGGCGAACGGGUGAGUAACACGUGAGUAACCUGCCCUUGACUCUGGGAUAAGCCCGGGAAACUGGGUCUAAUACCGGAUAGGAGCGCCUGUCGCAUGACGGGUGUUGGAAAGAUUUUUCGGUCAUGGAUGGACUCGCGGCCUAUCAGCUUGUUGGUGGGUAAUGGCUCACCAAGGCGACGACGGGUAGCCGGCCUGAGAGGGUGACCGGCCACACUGGGACUGAGACACGGCCCAGACUCCUACGGGAGGCAGCAGUGGGGAAUAUUGCACAAUGGGCGGAAGCCUGAUGCAGCGACGCCGCGUGAGGGAUGACGGCCUUUCGGGUUGUAAACCUCUUUCCAG
RNAcentral lists this ribosomal RNA (412 nucleotides) under Micrococcus sp. oral taxon F54. RNAcentral describes it as "bacterial SSU rRNA". It matches the Rfam family "Bacterial small subunit ribosomal RNA", at positions 28 to 440 of the family's 1533-position model. Lineage: Bacteria; Bacillati; Actinomycetota; Actinomycetes; Micrococcales; Micrococcaceae. The record is from RNAcentral.